This 75-nucleotide transfer RNA is filed under the name Dehalococcoides mccartyi CG1. RNAcentral describes it as "tRNA-Thr (TGT) (tRNA-Thr-TGT-1-1)". It matches the Rfam family "tRNA". Rfam says of the family: Transfer RNA (tRNA) molecules are approximately 80 nucleotides in length. Their secondary structure includes four short double-helical elements and three loops (D, anti-codon, and T loops). Lineage: Bacteria; Bacillati; Chloroflexota; Dehalococcoidia; Dehalococcoidales; Dehalococcoidaceae. The record is from RNAcentral.
GCUGGUGUAGCUCAAAGGAAGAGCAUUUGUUUUGUAAACAAGAUGUUGUGGGUUCAACUCCUACCGCCAGCUCCA